RNAcentral lists this ribosomal RNA (465 nucleotides) under uncultured bacterium. RNAcentral's name for it is "partial 16S ribosomal RNA". It matches the Rfam family "Bacterial small subunit ribosomal RNA", at positions 28 to 506 of the family's 1533-position model. The record is from RNAcentral.
GAUGAACGCUGGCGGCGUGCUUAACACAUGCGAGUCGAACGAUGAAGCCCAGCUUGCUGGGCGGAUUAGUGGCGAACGGGUGAGUAACACGUGAGUAACCUGCCCUUGACUCUGGGAUAAGCCCGGGAAACUGGGUCUAAUACCGGAUAGGAGCGCCUGUCGCAUGACGGGUGCUGGAAAGAUCUUUCGGUCAUGGAUGGACUCGCGGCCUAUCAGCUUGUUGGUGAGGUAACGGCUCACCAAGGCGACGACGGGUAGCCGGCCUGAGAGGGUGACCGGCCACACUGGGACUGAGACACGGCCCAGACCCCUACGGGAGGCAGCAGUGGGGAAUAUUGCACAAUGGGCGAAAGCCUGAUGCAGCGACGCCGCGUGAGGGAUGACGGCCUUCGGGUGGUAAACCUCUUUCAGCAGGGAAGAAGCGAAAGUGACGGUACCUGCAGAAGAAGCACCGGCUAACUACGU